Molecule: ribosomal RNA, 1851 nt
Filed under: Salmonella enterica subsp. enterica serovar Choleraesuis
Lineage: Bacteria; Pseudomonadati; Pseudomonadota; Gammaproteobacteria; Enterobacterales; Enterobacteriaceae
Description: partial 23S ribosomal RNA
Rfam family: Bacterial large subunit ribosomal RNA
Source: RNAcentral
GGGUUGUGAGGUUAAGCGACUAAGCGUACACGGUGGAUGCCCUGGCAGUCAGAGGCGAUGAAGGGCGUGCUAAUCUGCGAUAAGCGCCGGUAAGGUGAUAUGAACCGUUAUAACCGGCGAUACCCGAAUGGGGAAACCCAGUGUGACUCGUCACACUAUCAUUAACUGAAUCCAUAGGUUAAUGAGGCGAACCGGGGGAACUGAAACAUCUAAGUACCCCGAGGAAAAGAAAUCAACCGAGAUUCCCCCAGUAGCGGCGAGCGAACGGGGAGGAGCCCAGAGCCUGAAUCAGCAUGUGUGUUAGUGGAAGCGUCUGGAAAGGCGCGCGAUACAGGGUGACAGCCCCGUACACAAAAGCGCAUGUGCUGUGAGCUCGAUGAGUAGGGCGGGACACGUGGUAUCCUGUCUGAAUAUGGGGGGACCAUCCUCCAAGGCUAAAUACUCCUGACUGACCGAUAGUGAACCAGUACCGUGAGGGAAAGGCGAAAAGAACCCCGGCGAGGGGAGUGAAAAAGAACCUGAAACCGUGUACGUACAAGCAGUGGGAGCCCCACCACCAAAGCAUUCUCUGGUGUUGAAGGCCCUGCAAAGCAGCAUCGCGGUGGCGGAGCGUCGUUUGCGACGCCCAACACACAAAACAAGCGGUGAGUGCUUUGGGGUGGGGUGACUGCGUACCUUUUGUAUAAUGGGUCAGCGACUUAUAUUCUGUAGCAAGGUUAACCGAAUAGGGGAGCCGUAGGGAAACCGAGUCUUAACCGGGCGUUAAGUUGCAGGGUAUAGACCCGAAACCCGGUGAUCUAGCCAUGGGCAGGUUGAAGGUUGGGUAACACUAACUGGAGGACCGAACCGACUAAUGUUGAAAAAUUAGCGGAUGACCUGUGGCUGGGGGUGAAAGGCCAAUCAAACCGGGAGAUAGCUGGUUCUCCCCGAAAGCUAUUUAGGUAGCGCCUCGUGAAUUCAUCUCCGGGGGUAGAGCACUGUUUCGGCUAGGGGGCCAUCCCGGCUUACCAACCCGAUGCAAACUGCGAAUACCGGAGAAUGUUAUCACGGGAGACACACGGCGGGUGCUAACGUCCGUCGUGAAGAGGGAAACAACCCAGACCGCCAGCUAAGGUCCCAAAGUCAUGGUUAAGUGGGAAACGAUGUGGGAAGGCCCAGACAGCCAGGAUGUUGGCUUAGAAGCAGCCAUCAUUUAAAGAAAGCGUAAUAGCUCACUGGUCGAGUCGGCCUGCGCGGAAGAUGUAACGGGGCUAAACCAUGCACCGAAGCUGCGGCAGCGACGCUGAUGCGUUGUUGGGUAGGGGAGCGUUCUGUAAGCCUGUGAAGGUGGCCUGUGAGGGUUGCUGGAGGUAUCAGAAGUGCGAAUGCUGACAUAAGUAACGAUAAAGCGGGUGAAAAGCCCGCUCGCCGGAAGACCAAGGGUUCCUGUCCAACGUUAAUCGGGGCAGGGUGAGUCGACCCCUAAGGCGAGGCCGAAAGGCGUAGUCGAUGGGAAACGGGUUAAUAUUCCCGUACUUGGUGUUACUGCGAAGGGGGGACGGAGAAGGCUAUGUUGGCCGGGCGACGGUUGUCCCGGUUUAAGCGUGUAGGUGUGUGUUCCAGGUAAAUCCGGUUCACUUUAACACUGAGGCGUGAUGACGAGGCACUACGGUGCUGAAGCAACAAAUGCCCUGCUUCCAGGAAAAGCCUCUAAGCAUCAGGUAACAUCAAAUCGUACCCCAAACCGACACAGGUGGUCAGGUAGAGAAUACCAAGGCGCUUGAGAGAACUCGGGUGAAGGAACUAGGCAAAAUGGUGCCGUAACUUCGGGAGAAGGCACGCUGACACGUAGGUGAAGUGAUUUACUCAUGG